UUUUUCCAUAAUAUUGAGUAAAUGAGGACCACGAGUGUUGCUGUAGGUCUUUUGAAGAAAGACGAUAACAUUUAGAAUGUCUUGUGACGUUUUAAUGGAUAGCAUGGUCCAUUCAAGUACUAUGGUAUCUGUAUUUUGCAUAAGCUGAACUGAAUAUCUGGCAGCUCUCAGGAAGAUCGCAUUCCUGUAGCAUGUGCCAGUACACAUCAAGCCCGUUUUACAAUGUAACGAACACCAGCAGGCCUCCAAAUGCAUUUCUGUGAUAAACUCCUCCUGAUGAGCUAAAUGGAUGUGUGUCGUAGCAAAGCUAAUGAGCUCUUGAGCUAAACAAGCUUUCUUUGUUAUAAUGUGAAAUGUGAACUAUGUGUGUGUGUAUUUUGAUUGAUCUGUACUAUCAUGUUACAAUAAUACUGUGUUUUCUUUAUUAAACCCUGAAUCCAAGUAAUGUAAAACAUGUUAGCUUGCAUAAUGUGUAACUAUAGCUAGCUUUUGUUUUGUUUUUUUCCUACUAGAAAUAUUAGGCUCAUUUGCUAUUGGAAGAAUCGGUGGUUCACAAAAAUGCUUUGCAUGCACUUGAGUACUAGACUACUAUUUCUAGUAGAAAUGUCCACCUGCUGGUACAGUGUCAAUCACAGUAGCAGUGUGGAAUGACGAGACAUAUUGAAAAGCUGUAUUAUUACACAUCAGCUGCUCUUGUUGGCAGAUGUGGCCAGAUUUCUGCUGGCCAGUUUCAUGUCCUGUGGCUUCCCUCAUUCCUGCAGGCCUGCCUGAUCUCAAACAAAAGCUCUCUGUUAGGUGCUUGAAACCAUAGCGCUCUUGGAGCCAACCUUGGGUGACGAGAUUAGAAGUGCCAGUCCAGGAUCUGUUCAGCUCGGCCGGUGGGGUCAGGUGGUACAGCGGGUGGCUGCCGUACAUGGAGACUGUGCUCGGACCAUAUGGAAAAGGACGGACCACCACAGUUGUAUCCUAUGGCAAAAAUAUAUUUUUCCACACUUACAAUAUAUUUUGAGACUCUGUGGACCACAGGAGAGCAUGUAGGAAGCAAGAGAUUUCAGCUUGAUCCAGAGCUCUGUUAGGACUUUUUGUCUCAGUGGUCACGAGCCACCUCUGAUCGUCCUGAAGGAGCCAUUCUGUUUAGAAACUCGAUCCGUCUGAAAUUACUGCAGCACUGGAGUUUUGGGUCCCUGAACCGCUCUGUAAUUAAUCACCGUGGGCCAAAUCUAAUAUGUCGUGUAGCAGGACAGAGGAACAGUGUGGACAGGUGGACAUUAAACUUGAUCAGAGGGUCGGACUAGUUCUCAUUUCCUGCCUGAGGUCUCGAAUGAAUGUUCGCCACCGAUAUUAAACAACCACAGAAUGAUUAUUGCAUUGCCAAAUGUAAUAUGAUUUCAUUUACUUUUUAGUAGGUGUUAGUUUUUGUCAGUACCUGCACACAAUUCUUGUGUCUAAUGAAAGUGUCACAGUAGGGCCUUUUUUUUUUUUUUUGUAUUAGCCUACACAUUUUCUGAAAUGUUAUGUUUAUAUAUGCAAAUGUGUCAAAUUUAUCUAAUUAAAUAUGCUCUAAUUUGCAUAGAAUUUACGAACCGAAAUCGUAUUAAAUUAAAUUUGUUGAGUUAAAAGUUUUUUGGAUACAUUUUUGGGAUGUAUCAACUGUUUUUGCUUUUUUUUUUUUUUUUUAUCACUCCAUAAAUCAGAACAUACUCUCAACAGCCAAAAACCUGGUGAAAUAUAGGCUAUAUUAACUUUUUUUUUAAGGAUUUGGGAUGUUUUCUUUCUCCACUCUGAAAGAACGCAUGUUAUGGAAGCAAUGUUUUAAGCAGGUAUUUGCAAAAGAACGACGUAAAAUCUUUGCGUUCCAUAAACAGUAACAGACGUUUGGUGAACUGUUCCUUUAAGAACGUUUCAAAACUAUUUGAAUGACUGACUUACAAAGAAAUUAAUUAAAUAAAUGAAAAGAAGAGCGAGUGUGGACAGAACUUAUUACACACCGGUCUCGAACUCAGUAAAGCCAAACACAGUGUUGAAAUCUUGGAUUGGCACUCAAAGGAUUGUCAACAGAUGCUGAUAACGAGUUUCCAGAUAACAGACACUCUUAUGAAUGUGUCUUUUUGGAGUUUGAAUGGGUUUUAUCUCGCUGUUAGUUUUGGAUAUUAAGCAAACAGUAAUGAGCUUGCGUCUUGAAUUACGUGCAAAAACCGUCGACUGAGUGUGUCGCUGUUUGUCAGUAAAAGGUAGGUCUUUUCUCACAGAUAUCAACCUCUAGACUGGAUGUUUAAACCCUUACGCCUUAAAUUAAAGUAUAAUAUUUCUAAAGGCUUCUCGCGCCCUUCCGGCCUGUUGGGAAAGUGGGCCGCGGGGGAAGCUAAUGCACUGUGAGGGUCAAGCUUCACUGGCCGUCUCCAUUUUGAAACCCUGCCUGUGGUUUCAUCGGCCUCCCGUAAGUUUGGGGUGACGGGAACAUUUGCUCACAGAGACCUUAAGUCACGCUCGGACAGGCGGGCCGCGAGCGCUUUGUUCGGAGCUGUGAGGUGGCUUUUGUCCGCGGUACACCUUCCUCUUCCUCCUCAUCCUCUCCUCUUGUUCAGCCCAGGGCCAGGUUUAGACCACCGAGAUGUAACGCGAGAUCGUGUCGUGCUCCAAAGACCCGGUGGAGACACGCGUGGAAACUUAACUCUUUCUCUGGGUAAGGGUCAAGGAAUCCAGUCUGCGGUUAAAUCUUUUAAAAAAGUUAAGACAUCAGAGCCUAGAUAAGACUUUCUUUCUUUGACUAAAACCGCUGAAAUAUGAUCCAUCUGAUAACGUUUAACUCUGUGUGCAGCCGCGCAAACUCGACUUGCUUUG
Long non-coding RNA from Onychostoma macrolepis, 2841 nucleotides. RefSeq lists it as uncharacterized. The transcript has 3 exons. NCBI's taxonomy places the organism in Eukaryota, Metazoa, Chordata, Actinopteri, Cypriniformes, Cyprinidae. The record is from RefSeq and is a predicted model, not a curated record.